AGAGUUUGAUCCUGGCUCAGGACGAACGCUGGCGGCGUGCCUAAUACAUGCAAGUCGAGCGGACAGAUGGGAGCUUGCUCCCUGAUGUUAGCGGCGGACGGGCGAGUAACACGUGGGUAACCUGCCUGUAAGACUGGGAUAACUCCGGGAAACCGGGGCUAAUACCGGAUGGUUGUUUGAACCGCAUGGUUCAAACAUAAAAGGUGGCUUCGGCUACCACUUACAGAUGGACCCGCGGCGCAUUAGCUAGUUGGUGAGGUAACGGCUCACCAAGGCGACGAUGCGUAGCCGACCUGAGAGGGUGAUCGGCCACACUGGGACUGAGACACGGCCCAGACUCCUACGGGAGGCAGCAGUAGGGAAUCUUCCGCAAUGGACGAAAGUCUGACGGAGCGACGCCGCGUGAGUGAUGAAGGUUUUCGGAUCGUAAAGCUCUGUUGUUAGGGAAGAACAAGUGCCGUUCGAAUAGGGCGGUACCUUGACGGUACCUAACCAGAAAGCCACGGCUAACUACGUGCCAGCAGCCGCGGUAAUACGUAGGUGGCAAGCGUUGUCCGGAAUUAUUGGGCGUAAAGGGCUCGCAGGCGGUUUCUUAAGUCUGAUGUGAAAGCCCCCGGCUCAACCGGGGAGGGUCAUUGGAAACUGGGGAACUUGAGUGCAGAAGAGGAGAGUGGAAUUCCACGUGUAGCGGUGAAAUGCGUAGAGACGUGGAGGAACACCAGUGGCGAAGGCGACUCUCUGGUCUGUAACUGACGCUGAGGAGCGAAAGCGUGGGGAGCGAACAGGAUUAGAUACCCUGGUAGUCCACGCCGUAAACGAUGAGUGCUAAGUGUUAGGGGGUUUCCGCCCCUUAGUGCUGCAGCUAACGCAUUAAGCACUCCGCCUGGGGAGUACGGUCGCAAGACUGAAACUCAAAGGAAUUGACGGGGGCCCGCACAAGCGGUGGAGCAUGUGGUUUAAAUCGAAGCAACGCGAAGAACCUUACCAGGUCUUGACAUCCUCUGACAAUCCUAGAGAUAGGACGUCCCCUUCGGGGGCAGAGUGACAGGUGGUGCAUGGUUGUCGUCAGCUCGUGUCGUGAGAUGUUGGGUUAAGUCCCGCAACGAGCGCAACCCUUGAUCUUAGUUGCCAGCAUUCAGUUGGGCACUCUAAGGUGACUGCCGGUGACAAACCGGAGGAAGGUGGGGAUGACGUCAAAUCAUCAUGCCCCUUAUGACCUGGGCUACACACGUGCUACAAUGGACAGAACAAAGGGCAGCGAAACCGCGAGGUUAAGCCAAUCCCACAAAUCUGUUCUCAGUUCGGAUCGCAGUCUGCAACUCGACUGCGUGAAGCUGGAAUCGCUAGUAAUCGCGGAUCAGCAUGCCGCGGUGAAUACGUUCCCGGGCCUUGUACACACCGCCCGUCACACCACGAGAGUUUGUAACACCCGAAGUCGGUGAGGUAACCUUUUAGGAGCCAGCCGCCGAAGGUGGGACAGAUGAUUGGGGUGAAGUCGUAACAAGGUA
RNAcentral lists this ribosomal RNA (1508 nucleotides) under metagenome. RNAcentral's name for it is "bacterial SSU rRNA". It matches the Rfam family "Bacterial small subunit ribosomal RNA". The record is from RNAcentral.